AGUUAGUUUUAUUCUGACUAAUAAAUUAAAUAUAAAAUUAUAUUACAUGCAUUAUCUUACUUGAUUGAGUUUUAUCUUAAUGAUAUAUUUUAAAAACGCAGUAUUUAAUAUUAUAAAUUAAUAAAUUUAGAAAUAGUGAAUUUUAUUAUAAAGGACAAAAUUCGUGCCAGCAGUUGCGGUUAUACGAUUUUUUUAGAUUUAAUUAUAUUGGUUUCAGUUAAAAUAUAUUAAUAUUAAAAUUUUUAAAUUUUGGUGGAAUAAUAUGUAAAUUGAAUGUUUAUUUUUAUGUCUGAGAAAUUUUUAUAAAAAACUAGGAUUAGAUACCCUAUUAUUAAAAAUGUAAAUUUAAGUUAACUUGAUUAUUAAUAGUUAUGAUCUUUAAAUUCAAAGAAUUUGGCGGUAAUUUAUCUAAUCAGAGGAAUCUGUUUUAUAAUCGAUAAUCCACGAUAGAUAAUACUUUAAAUAUACUUGUAUACCUCUGUCAAGAAUGUUUUAUAAGAAAAAUUUUCGUAUAUUAUAAAUAAUAAAAUGUCAAGUCAAGGUGCAGUUAAUUUUAAAGAAAAUAUGGAUUACAUUUAUUUAACAAAAUGAAUUGUUUUCUAUUAUGAAAUCAUGAAAUUGGAUUUGAAAGUAAAUUACAAUUAAAUAUAAUUGAUUGAAUUUCAGUUCUAAAUUAUGUACACAUCGCCCGUCACUCCCAUAAUAAGUGGGAUAAGUCGUAACAAAGUAGCUGUACUGGAAAGUGUAGCUAGAAUGAAAA
This 760-nucleotide non-coding RNA is filed under the name Tryella crassa. Lineage: Eukaryota; Metazoa; Arthropoda; Insecta; Hemiptera; Cicadidae. The record is from RNAcentral.